UGCAGGGGUUCCACGGCACCCUGACUGUACUCGUUGCAAUUCCAAUCAAGCAGGAGAGACCAGCCUCCCCUGUACCCAGCUGUGUGUCCAUGAAGAGUGACUGGUCUAUGAGACAUCCUCUAAAGUUUAGAGAGGAAGACUUUUCUACUGAACAAAGAAACCAACAGGAGAGAUCAGAGUCAGAGAUUCUCAGUGGUCAGUCUU
Long non-coding RNA from Salvelinus namaycush (lake trout), 204 nucleotides. RefSeq lists it as uncharacterized. The transcript is spliced from 3 exons. The record is from RefSeq and is a predicted model, not a curated record. Lineage: Eukaryota; Metazoa; Chordata; Actinopteri; Salmoniformes; Salmonidae.